RNAcentral lists this ribosomal RNA (442 nucleotides) under Chironius foveatus. Its description in RNAcentral is "partial 12S ribosomal RNA". It matches the Rfam family "Microsporidia small subunit ribosomal RNA", at positions 752 to 1288 of the family's 1311-position model. Lineage: Eukaryota; Metazoa; Chordata; Lepidosauria; Squamata; Colubridae. The record is from RNAcentral.
CGCCAAAUAACUACGAGUAAAAACUUAAAAUUUAAAAGACUUGACGGUACCUCACAACAGCCUAGAGGAGCCUGUCUAAUAACCGAUACUCCACGAUCAACCCAACCCCCCCUAGCCCAACAGUCUAUAUACCGCCGUCGCCAGCCUACCUCAUGAGAGAAACAAAGUAAGCCAAACAGUCAUACGCUAGCACGACAGGUCGAGGUGUAACUAAUGGGGAGGAUUAAGAUGGGCUACAUUUUCUAACACAGAAUAUACGAAUAAACUAUGAAACAAGAAACUGAAGGCGGAUUUAGCAGUAUAUUAAGAACAAAAUACAUAAUAGAAACCAACGCAAUGAGGUGCGUACACACCGCCCGUCAUCCCUGUCAACUAACCACUUAAAUCUUCAUAAACAAACAAAGCUUUUAAAGCAGGGCAAGUCGUAACAAGGUAAGUGUAC